UACGUAGGUGGCAAGCGUUGUCCGGAUUUACUGGGCGUAAAGCGAACGCAGGCUGGAUGUUAAGUAGGAAGUGAAAGGUUGGAGCUCAACUCUGACACUGCUCCCUAUACUGGCAUUCUUGAGUCUUGGAGAGGAAAGCGGAACGACACGUGUAGCGGUGAAAUGCGUUGAUAUGUGUCGGAACACCGAUGGCGAAAGCAGCUUUCUGGACAAGUACUGACGCUGAGGUUCGAAAGCCAAGGGAGCGAACAGG
This 253-nucleotide ribosomal RNA is filed under the name uncultured bacterium. RNAcentral's name for it is "partial 16S ribosomal RNA". It matches the Rfam family "Bacterial small subunit ribosomal RNA", at positions 524 to 776 of the family's 1533-position model. The record is from RNAcentral. RNAcentral also lists the same sequence under 1 other name.